RNAcentral lists this ribosomal RNA (497 nucleotides) under uncultured bacterium. Its description in RNAcentral is "partial 16S ribosomal RNA". It matches the Rfam family "Bacterial small subunit ribosomal RNA", at positions 28 to 507 of the family's 1533-position model. The record is from RNAcentral.
GAUGAACGCUGGCGGCGUGCCUAAUACAUGCAAGUCGAGCGAACAGACGAGGAGCUUGCUCCUUUGACGUUAGCGGCGGACGGGUGAGUAACACGUAGGUAACCUACCUAUAAGACUGGGAUAACUUCGGGAAACUGGAUCUAACACCGGAUAAUAUUUCGAACCGCAUGGUUCGAUAGUGAAAGAUGGCUUUGCUAUCACUUAUAGAUGUACCUGCGCCGUAUUAGCUAGUUGGUAAGGUAACGGCUUACCAAGGCAACGAUACGUAGCCGACCUGAGAGGGUGAUCGGCCACACUGGAACUGAGACACGGUCCAGACUCCUACGGGAGGCAGCAGUAGGGAAUCUUCCGCAAUGGGCGAAAGCCUGACGGAGCAACGCCGCGUGAGUGAUGAAGGUCUUCGGAUCGUAAAACUCUGUUAUUAGGGAAGAACAAACGUGUAAGUAACUGUGCACGUCUUGACGGUACCUAAUCAGAAAGCCACGGCUAACUACGUG